UGGUGGAAAGGAUUGAGUGUAAGAACACAAUUUCUCUGAAUCCAAGACUACACCCAGCACAGUAGCAUUGUCAGUAAUUCAACAACUAGACAAGAAAUCAUGAGGAGAUAUUGGGGAGCUCUGCUGGGGCUCCUAUGGCUCCAGGUUUGCUGGGUGAGAGUGAUGACGGUGGAGCAGAGCCCUUCACACCAGAGCCUCCAGGAGGGAGCCAGCUCUACUCUCAAGUGCAAUUUCUCUAAUGCAGUGAACAAUGUGCAGUGGUUCCGACAGAACCCCGGGGGCGGCAGUCUCACCCGGCUGUUUUACAUAGUUUCAGGGAUGAAGCAGAGUGGAAGGUUAAACUGCACAGUGAAUACUAAGGAUCGGUCCAGCACCCUCCACAUCGGGGCCUCCCAACUGGAAGACUCAGCCACCUACCUGUGUGCAGUGGAGGCACAGUGCAUCUUGGUGAUCUGCAGCCUGCACCCAAACUGCAGCUGUGCCUAAAGCCCUUUGCAGGUAAAAACCUCUACCAUGGAGUCACUGGAGCAAGUGAUAGAAAUGCCCAUAUCCAGUACCCUGGGAAAACAGAUGUCCUAGCAGCUAGCAUAUAAAGUAUCUGUAAGUAGUCAAAUGGAAAAUGCUCAAAAAACUCAGUGGUCAUCAGCAAACAAAGAGAUGACUAAGUUUUUUAGUUAUCUGUGGGUGGUUCUUUUUCAAAGAAAUGUAAAGAGAAU
Non-coding RNA from Mustela erminea (ermine), 716 nucleotides. NCBI's taxonomy places the organism in Eukaryota, Metazoa, Chordata, Mammalia, Carnivora, Mustelidae. The record is from the annotation of a RefSeq genome assembly.